GUGCAUCUGGAAUCCAAAUCCAUCGUAGACAAUAUAUAACAUGCUUCUCAUCUCUAACCUAAAAUUUGCCUACCGGGCACAGACGGUCUUGAAUCUAGAUAUGAUAUCAAAAUAGUUAAGACAAUAAAUUUGAGGGAUUAGACAGAAUCUCAAUUCCAAACACCAUAUAAAAGACGUCCACAAAAAAUGAAUCUCAAUUGGUCAUUUUAUCGAGCAUCUAUUGAGCAAGUCUCAGAGGCGACCCAGAAUCAAUUUCGCACGUCAAAACUCCUCGCUCCAUAUUGGCAUAAUUAUCACAACAAAUGGGUACCUAGAAAUAAAGAAUUGCUACUCCUGCG
RNAcentral lists this unclassified non-coding RNA (338 nucleotides) under Hevea brasiliensis (rubber tree). The record is from RNAcentral. Lineage: Eukaryota; Viridiplantae; Streptophyta; Magnoliopsida; Malpighiales; Euphorbiaceae.